Molecule: long non-coding RNA, 350 nt
Filed under: Brassica napus (rape)
Lineage: Eukaryota; Viridiplantae; Streptophyta; Magnoliopsida; Brassicales; Brassicaceae
Description: long non-coding RNA (BNAP_LNC024952)
Source: RNAcentral
AAAAUGCAAUAAAUUCUUAAAAAAAUAGCUAAAGAAAUAAUAAAAUCAAAACCGAGCUCUAAAAACCUAAAAUUUAAAACUAUAAACCCUAAAUCCAAAACUCUAAACCAUAAAUAUUAAAUCCUAAAAUUUGAACUCUAAACAUAAAACCCUAAAUCCUGAAAUCUAAACCUAAAUCUUAAACCCUAAACCCAAAAUUCUAAACCAUAAACCCUAAACCCUAAAUAUUAAUCACUAAAUUCUAAACCUUAAACCUAACAAAUCAAUCUUAACCCUAAACCUAAAUUCUAAAUCCUAAACCCUAAACUUAAAAUUCUAAACCCCAGAACCCUAAACUCCAAAUCCUGAAC